RNAcentral lists this ribosomal RNA (460 nucleotides) under uncultured bacterium. RNAcentral's name for it is "partial 16S ribosomal RNA". It matches the Rfam family "Bacterial small subunit ribosomal RNA", at positions 338 to 795 of the family's 1533-position model. The record is from RNAcentral.
CCUACGGGAGGCAGCAGUGAGGAAUAUUGGUCAAUGGACGCAAGUCUGAACCAGCCAUGCCGCGUGCAGGAAGACGGCUCUAUGAGUUGUAAACUGCUUUUGUACGAGGGUAAAUCCCGAUACGUGUAUCGGGUUGCAAGUAUCGUACGAAUAAGGAUCGGCUAACUCCGUGCCCGCAGCCGCGGUAAUACGGAGGAUUCAAGCGUUAUCCGGAUUUAUUGGGUUUAAAGGGUGCGUAGGCGGUUCGAUAAGUUAGAGGUGAAAUCCCGGGGCUCAACUCCGGCACUGCCUCUGAUACUGUCGGGCUAGAGUGUAGUUGCGGUAGGCGGAAUGUAUGGUGUAGCGGUGAAAUGCAUAGAGAUCAUACAGAACACCGAUUGCGAAGGCAGCUUACCAAACUACGACUGACGUUGAGGCACGAAAGCGUGGGGAGCAAACAGGAUUAGAUACCCUAGUAGUC